GACGAACCGAGCGAACGUUGUUCGGAAUAACUGGGCUUAAAGGGCGCGUAGGCGGGCCGCCAAGUUCGAGGUGAAAUCCUCCGGCUCAACCGGAGAACUGCCUCGAAUACUGGAGGCCUCGAGGCGGGUAGGGGCGUGCGGAACUGUGGGUGGAGCGGUGAAAUGCGUUGAUAUCCACAGGAACUCCGGUGGCGAAGGGGGCACGCUGGACCCGAUCUGACGCUGAGGCGCGAAAGCCAGGGGAGCAAACGGG
RNAcentral lists this ribosomal RNA (253 nucleotides) under uncultured bacterium. Its description in RNAcentral is "partial 16S ribosomal RNA". It matches the Rfam family "Bacterial small subunit ribosomal RNA", at positions 524 to 776 of the family's 1533-position model. The record is from RNAcentral.